UAGAGUUUGAUCAUGGCUCAGGAUGAACGCUGGCGGCGUGCCUAAUACAUGCAAGUCGAGCGGUAAGGUUCUGCACUUAGUAUUUGACCCUGGUAAGUCUAGUAAUAGAUACUGCCAAGAAACGUAGCUUCUAGGCUAGAAGAUAUUGUCGAAUUUUAAGUGUAGAAUACACGAGCGGCGGACGGCUGAGUAACGCGUAGGAACGUACCCCAAAGUGAGGGAUAACUGCUCGAAAGAGUAGCUAAUACCGCAUGUGCUCUAAGGAGUAAAGCUUCGGCGCUUUGGGAACGGCCUGCGUAUGAUUAGCUUGUUGGUGAGGUAAAAGCUCACCAAGGCGACGAUCAUUAGCUGGUCUGAGAGGAUGAUCAGCCAGACUGGGACUGAGACACGGCCCAGACUCCUACGGGAGGCAGCAGUAGGGAAUUUUCCACAAUGGGCGAAAGCCUGAUGGAGCAACGCCGCGUGCAGGAUGAAGGCCUUAGGGUUGUAAACUGCCUUUAUAUGUGAAGAUUUUGACGGUAGCAUAUGAAUAAGGAUCGGCUAACUCCGUGCCAGCAGCCGCGGUCAUACGGAGGAUCCAAGCGUUAUCCGGAAUUACUGGGCGUAAAGAGUUGCGUAGGUGGCAUAGUAAGUAGACAGUGAAAUUGUGUGGCUCAACCAUACACACAUUGUCUAAACUGCUAAGCUAGAAUAUGAGAGAGGUAGCUGGAAUUCCUAGUGUAGGAGUGAAAUCCGUAGAUAUUAGGAGGAACACCGAUGGCGUAGGCAGGCUACUGGCUUAUUAUUGACACUAAGGCACGAAAGCGUGGGGAGCGAACAGGAUUAGAUACCCUGGUAGUCCACGCCGUAAACUAUGGAUGCUAGCUGUUAUUCGUAUCGACCCGAAUAGUAGCGAAGCUAACGCGUUAAGCAUCCCGCCUGUGGAGUACGAGCGCAAGCUUAAAACAUAAAGGAAUUGACGGGGACCCGCACAAGCGGUGGAGCGUGUUGUUUAAUUCGACGGUAAGCGAAGAACCUUACCCAGGCUUGACAUCCUUGGAAUCUCCUCGAAAGAAGAGAGUGCCUUCGGGAAUCAAGUGACAGGUGAUGCAUGGCCGUCGUCAGCUCGUGUCGUGAGAUGUUUGGUUAAGUCCAUUAACGAGCGCAACCCUUGUGAUUAGUUGAAUUUUUCUAAUCAGACUGCCCUGGUAACAGGGAGGAAGGAGGGGAUGAUGUCAGGUCAGUAUUUCCCUUAUGUCUGGGGCUACAAACACGCUACAAUGGCCGGUACAAAGGGCAGCCAACCCGCGAGGGGGAGCAAAUCCCAUCAAAACCGGUCCCAGUUCGGAUAGCAGGCUGAAACUCGCCUGCUUGAAGUCGGAAUCGCUAGUAACGGUGAGUCAGCACAUUACCGUGAAUACGUUCCCGGGUCUUGUACACACCGCCCGUCAAACCAUGAAAGUCACCAAUACCUGACGUCUUAGCUAGUCUAGGCCUAAGGUAGGGGGGAUAAUUGGGGUUAAGUCGUAACAAGGUAACCGU
This 1521-nucleotide ribosomal RNA is filed under the name uncultured Candidatus Saccharibacteria bacterium. RNAcentral describes it as "bacterial SSU rRNA". It matches the Rfam family "Bacterial small subunit ribosomal RNA". Lineage: Bacteria; Candidatus Saccharimonadota. The record is from RNAcentral.